This is a long non-coding RNA of Oncorhynchus keta (chum salmon), 1740 nucleotides long. RefSeq lists it as uncharacterized. Lineage: Eukaryota; Metazoa; Chordata; Actinopteri; Salmoniformes; Salmonidae. The transcript has 2 exons. The record is from RefSeq and is a predicted model, not a curated record.
UGACUGAUGACUGACUGACUGACUGACUGACUGACUGGUGGGAUAGAAACAGGCUGACUGACUGACUGACUGACUGACUGACUGACUGGUGGGAUAGAAACAGGCUGACUGACUGACUGACUGACAGACUGACUGACUGACUGGUGGGAUAGAAACAGGCUGACUGACUGACUGACUGACUAGACUGACUGACUGGUGGGAUAGAAACUGACUGACUGACUGGAGGGAUAGAAACAGGCUGACUGACUGACUGACUGGUGGGAUAGAAACUGACUGACUGACUGACUGACUGACUGGAGGGAUAGAAACAGGCUGACUGACUGGAGGGAUAGAAACAGGCUGACUGACUGGACUGGGAUAGAAACAGACUGACUGACUGACUGACUGGUGGGAUAGAAACAGACUGACUGACUGACUGGUGGGAUAGAAACAGACUGACUGACUGACUGGUGCCAUACAUAGUCAUGAUCUGGUCAAUUGACUGACCUAAGCUGUUCUCACCUUAUCAAUAUGACUCCAACCUGUUCUCACCUUAUCAAUAUGACUCCAACCUGUUCUCACACGUGGGAUUGAACUGAACAAUGCUGUGUAUCUGAAAUGGCACCCUGUACGGUGCACUACCCUGGUCAAAAGUAGUGCACUACAUAGGGAAUAAGGUGCAAUUUGGGACUUAUCCUGUGUGUUCACUUUGUUUUAGGGCCAGGAGUUUUUCUGAUUGCCUCGUAACCUGGCCAGGAGUCUUUGGUCCAGGGUAUGUUUAGGACCUGGUCACGCCUUGGGUUUCAUCUCAAAAGGUACCUUAUUCCCUAUAAAGGGCACUACUUUUAACCAGGGCCUGUGGUUGUGGUCUAAAGUGGUGCACUAUAUAGGGAAUAUGGUGCCAUUUGGGAAUAACUCUGGGGCCCCUAUGUUAAAGGUAACGUCUCAUGUUGUUGGUGUUCUUGUAUGUUCAUUACAAACCACACGGAAGAAAACUACCUUGGUUUCUGUUGCAAAGCGUUUUUUCUGAUGAACACAACCCAGGAUAAAAUUAAACCUCUUGUCAUAAAGCGUUUUUUUCUGAUGAACACAACCCAGGAUAAAAUUAAACCUCUUGUCAUAAAGCGUUUUUUUCUGAUGAACACAACCCAGGAUAAAAUUAAACCUCUUGUCAUAAAGCGUUUUUUCUGAUGAACACAACCCAGGAUAAAAAUUAAACCUCUUGUCAUAAAGCGUUUUUUCUGAUGAACACAACCCAGGAUACAAUUAAACCUCUUGUCAAUUCCAUUAAGUUACUUUUCUUUUUACCAGCGCUUUAUUUACCAGAGUAAUGAUGUUAAAAACUGUUUCACAGGGCGUUGUUGCUUAUGUUUGUAACCUGACGGUGAAAGCACAGCGGUCCCCAUCUGCUACCAGUCUUUAGUAUAAUAUAAUAAUAAUAUAAUAAUAAUAAUAAUAAGUCUUUAGUGGGCAAACCACCGGUGUUGUCAGAUAAACAGAAAGUCAUAUUCUGAUUUUAAUUUUUUUUUAAACAACAGAUUUUGUACUUGUCGAUGACAACCAGAAAUGAAAUGUCUGAGUACGGCGGAAAUGUAGUUCAGUGGAAAAACGUUCUAUUAAAAUGUUUCCUAUCAAGUCACAAAGCGGCUAAAGAAACUGAAUGCAAGAAACAGUUGCCUUUUUUUUUUUACCACAGAUUCUUCACCAAAUAUGAGAAUUGUUUUUAUUUUAUUUUAAUUAAAUGAUCAGUUUUUAUCUUUC